RNAcentral lists this ribosomal RNA (349 nucleotides) under uncultured bacterium. Its description in RNAcentral is "partial 16S ribosomal RNA". It matches the Rfam family "Bacterial small subunit ribosomal RNA", at positions 338 to 698 of the family's 1533-position model. The record is from RNAcentral.
CCUACGGGUGGCUGCAGUCGAGAAUCAUUCACAAUGGGGGCAACCCUGAUGCAGCGAUGCCGCGUGGGGGAAUGAAGGUCUUCGGAUUGUAAACCCCUGUCAUGUGGGAGCAAAUUAAAAAGAUAGUACCACACGAGGAAGAGACGGCUAACUCGGUGCCAGCAGCCGCGGUAAUACAGAGGUCUCAAGCGUUGUUCGGAAUCACUGGGCGUAAUGCGUGCGUAGGCGGUUUCGUAAGUCGGGUGGGAAAGGCGCGGGCUCAACCCGCGGAUGGCAAAUGAUACUGCGAGACUAGAGUUAAGGUGCGGGAACCGGAAUGCUCGGUGUAGCGGUGAAAUGCAUAGAGAUC